Chlorocebus sabaeus (green monkey) is the source of this 1840-nucleotide non-coding RNA. The record is from RefSeq and is a predicted model, not a curated record. Lineage: Eukaryota; Metazoa; Chordata; Mammalia; Primates; Cercopithecidae.
CAGAGCAAAGACUCCGUCUCACAAAAAAAAAAAAAAAAAAAGAAGGUAGGCACAUAGAAUAAAUAAAACCAGAUUUCAAACAAUGUUUCAUUCUUGCCCAUUGCUCAUGUUCCCUGUUAGGAAUCAAGGGUAAGAGGAGUGUGGUAUGUUCACAUUCCUUUCUGAGGUAAAUGUCUGUAUCUCCAUUUACAGGCAUGGAAACGGAGGCCUAGAGAAGAGAAAUAACUUGCCUACGUUCCCACAGGAAGUGCAUGAUGGCGCUGGGGCUGGCAUUCAAGUCCAUCUGCCUCCAAAGCCCAGGCUCAGCCCCUGCUGCAUUUGUGGCGUCUUUUCGAGACAAAGGAGUAAAACAACCUUAACUGAGGCUUCUUCCCAGGAAGACACUUGUUAUGGAAGUGAUCUUCAGCCCACAUGGAGCACCCCGUAGGGAAGUGAUGAGUCGUGGCAUAGAUAGCUGUUUAGUGGGUCUUCCUGAUCGUGAGGGUUUUCUGUUCCAUUCUUCCUUGGCUGCCGGAAAGAAGACAAAUGCUUGGUCAGACCAUUACCCGCUGUGAGGCAUCCGUUGCAGUGCUGUGAAGGUCAGUGAUUCACUUUCUGCCUCUACACGCUUCACAUGGGCAAUUCCAGUCGUGUGUCAUUUACAGUCAUGAUUCUCAGCUGCAGAGAGGAAGUUACACCAUCUCGAGGCAGAGGCUAUAGGACGCGGAGGGGCGAGCCAUCCCAAACACGUCUGGUGUGUCGACCUGGGUGAGAAUUCUUGGCCACAACUUCAGAUUAGAUCCCAAAUAUGCCACUUUCUACCUACCUAUGGUGACUCUGGGUGCUCUAGUUUGGUUGGUUUGACUCCUGCAAACCUCAUGCUGAAAUUUGGUCCCCAGUGUUGAAGGUGGGUCUAAUAAGAGGUGUUUGGGUCAUGUGCGGGCGGAUCCCUCAUGAAUAGCUUGGUGGUGUCUUUGUGGUAAUGAGUGAGUUCUCACUCUGAGUUCCUGUGAGAGUUGGUUGUUAUAAAGAGCUUGGCACCUCCCUGCCCUCUCUUUGCCUCCUCUCUUUCCUUACGGUCUCUGCACACACAGGCUCAUCUUCCCCUCUCCCGUGAGUGGAGGCAGCCACAAGUCCUCUCCAGAAGCAGAUAUUGGUGCCAUGCUUGUACAGCCUGCAGAACCAUGAGCCAAAUUAACCUCUUUUCUUUAUACAUCACCCAGCCUCGGGUAUUCCUUUACAGCAACGCAAAUAGACUCAGACACCGGAGAAGCCAUUUCAACUCUCUAAGCCUCUGUUUGUAAAAUGAGGAAUAUGACUCUCUGCAGUUGAGAUGAGGAUUAGAAAUGAAAAUGAAGCACCCACUAAAAGGCCUGGUACAAGCAAGGGCAAAUGGUAAUAAUGAGGUCUAGACAGAUUACAAACUGAGUCAUACCCCCUAUUUUCUGUAUCUCAGGGUCAGUUACUCCCUGGGUCUCAGUUUAUACUCUGUAAUACAAGGAUGAGAACAAUAGGCACUGCUGUGGGUUGAAUUGUGUCCUGUGAAAGAAUACGUUAAAGGCCUAACUCCAGAUGUCUGUGCUGUGUCCUGUUGGGAACUAGGGUCUUUGCAGAUGUAGUUAAGUUAGGAUAAGGACAUAGUGCAUUAGGAUGAGUUUGGAUCUAGUGACUGGUGUCCUUAUAAGAAAAGGGAAAUUGAGAGAAGAGAGAAGAUGGAGGGAAGAACAAAAGCAGAGGUUGGGGUGAUGCAUUUAUAAGCCAAGGAGCACCAAGGAUUGCUGGUGGCCACCAGAAGCCGGAGAUAGGCAAGGGGCAGAUUCUUCCUCAGAGCCUUCAAAAAAAAAAAAAAAAAAAAAAAAAA